This 451-nucleotide ribosomal RNA is filed under the name uncultured bacterium. RNAcentral describes it as "partial 16S ribosomal RNA". It matches the Rfam family "Bacterial small subunit ribosomal RNA", at positions 28 to 523 of the family's 1533-position model. The record is from RNAcentral.
GAUGAACGCUGGCGGUGUGCCUAAUACAUGCAAGUCGAACGAGGUCUUCGGACCUAGUGGCGAACGGGUGAGUAACACGUUGGUACCUACCCUCUAGUGGGGAAUAACUGGCCGAAAGGUCGGCUAAUACCGCAUAAUACCGCAAGGUUAAAGUAGUAAUACGCUAGAGGAGGGGCCUGCGUCCCAUUAGCUUGUUGGUAGUGUAAUGGACUACCAAGGCAACGAUGGGUAGCUGGAUCGAGAGGUUGACCAGCCACACUGGGACUGAGAUACGGCCCAGACUCCUACGGGAGGCAGCAGUAAGGAAUCUUCCACAAUGGGCGAAAGCCUGAUGGAGCAACACCGCGUGCAGGAUGACGGCCUUCGGGUUGUAAACUGCUUUUAUAUGGGAAGAUUAUGACGGUACCAUAUGAAUAAGCACCGGCUAACUACGUGCCAGCCGCCGCAGUAA